GUGCACACGUCAGGAGCACAUAUUCUAAAACUGAAAUGAUAGAGAGAAGAUUAGCAUGGCCCCUGUGCGAGGAUGACGUGUGUUAGUAUUUUUU
Molecule: small nuclear RNA, 94 nt
Filed under: Ochotona princeps (American pika)
Lineage: Eukaryota; Metazoa; Chordata; Mammalia; Lagomorpha; Ochotonidae
Source: RNAcentral